UUUUUGAGAGUGGUUUGUGUGCCUAUGCGCUGAGGGUAGUGCAUGGCACGCACGUGUGUAUGUGUGCUUUUUUGGCGGGAAUUGCCUCUUCUCUAAUGGCCUUCAUAUCUUCGGCCUAACCAUAUAAUAUACUACUACUACUACUAGGCUCUUAACCACGUGACUGGUGGUUACACGUGUGUAAACUUUUCUUUUAAUUUUGUAUUUUUUUUUUCCUGAAAAUAAUUUUAUUUUGUUUUUUUCAUUUUUUCGUUUGUUUAAGAGGAGAAACCUCGACCUCUUAAUUACUCUUACUAGGCCUGAUUUGACUUGGCCUGGCAAAUACAAAAAGGUCUUUGGGGCCUUUCACGCGUGUCUGUUAGUCUG
Molecule: long non-coding RNA, 366 nt
Filed under: Jatropha curcas
Lineage: Eukaryota; Viridiplantae; Streptophyta; Magnoliopsida; Malpighiales; Euphorbiaceae
Description: long non-coding RNA (JCUR_LNC003356)
Source: RNAcentral